RNAcentral lists this small nuclear RNA (24 nucleotides) under Arabidopsis thaliana (thale cress). RNAcentral's name for it is "snRNA_04115". Lineage: Eukaryota; Viridiplantae; Streptophyta; Magnoliopsida; Brassicales; Brassicaceae. The record is from RNAcentral.
AUGUCAUGAAGAUGAAAAACGAGA